This 238-nucleotide ribosomal RNA is filed under the name uncultured bacterium. Its description in RNAcentral is "partial 16S ribosomal RNA". It matches the Rfam family "Bacterial small subunit ribosomal RNA", at positions 103 to 334 of the family's 1533-position model. The record is from RNAcentral.
CGGCCGGCGCAGGUGAGUAACACGUAUCCAACCUGCCCUUUACUCGGGGAUAGCCUUUCGAAAGAAAGAUUAAUACCCGAUAGCAUAAUGAUUCCGCAUGGUUUCAUUAUUAAAGGAUUCCGGUAAAGGAUGGGGAUGCGUUCCAUUAGGUUGUUGGUGAGGUAACGGCUCACCAAGCCUUCGAUGAUAGGGGUUCUGAGAGGAAGGUCCCCCACAUUGGAACUGAGACACGGUCCAA